UCCUAGUUCUAAAAAGAAAAAAACAAAGGC
RNAcentral lists this non-coding RNA (30 nucleotides) under Mus musculus (house mouse). Lineage: Eukaryota; Metazoa; Chordata; Mammalia; Rodentia; Muridae. The record is from RNAcentral.